UAAAAUUAAAACAAAUUUAAUCGUCGAUGAAAAAAAAUGUUAUUUUUGAGUGCUCUUAAUUCCAUCAAUUGCAUAGUAAAUUCUAUUACAUAAAAAUUACUUCAACUUAGUUUAAAUUACUUGAUACUACAUUAUGGCUCUAAACAACUUUAGAAAGCCAAAACCACUAAACUACAAAGCCAUUUGCAAUUUGCAAGAAGCUCAAAACCAUUAAACUACAAAGCCACUAAAACCCCUCCCUGUUACAAAAAUUAGCACAAACCAAAAUACUAAGAAAGAAACUCUAAAAUGGCUUCAACCAAAACAAAAAGCAUCUCACACAAACUGACGAGACACGUAGUCCACAUAUCACUAAGCACAGAACCAAAAUAUAACCUUGCAAGCCCUGAAGCGCACAAGAAGGCCAACAGAUACAUGCAGUUCUCAACAAAAGCAAAGCUAAUGAACAACUUCCAAACAGUGAAAUUUAGCCAACAUCCACACUCCAAGCACCAGCCGCACCAGCAAAAGAAACACAGCAGCAACAUUAAAAAGCACCCGUCUGCUAAAGGUCCUUCGCUCCAUUAGC
Molecule: long non-coding RNA, 568 nt
Filed under: Trifolium pratense (red clover)
Lineage: Eukaryota; Viridiplantae; Streptophyta; Magnoliopsida; Fabales; Fabaceae
Description: long non-coding RNA (TPRA_LNC009128)
Source: RNAcentral